UAGAAAGGAUACUUACGUGAUCAGAAUAGACUGAUUCUCACGAUCUGAAAAUAUUAAAUUGUUUAAAAAGUUACUUUUAAUUUUAAAAUAAUAUGAAGCAGUGUGUGUGUGUGUGUGUGUGUGUGUGUGUGUGUGUGUGUAGAAGCACCUACAUCUGUCCAA
Molecule: non-coding RNA, 162 nt
Organism: Podarcis lilfordi (Lilford's wall lizard)
Lineage: Eukaryota; Metazoa; Chordata; Lepidosauria; Squamata; Lacertidae
Source: the annotation of a GenBank genome assembly